RNAcentral lists this ribosomal RNA (255 nucleotides) under Melamphaes simus (ridgehead). Its description in RNAcentral is "partial 16S ribosomal RNA". It matches the Rfam family "Archaeal large subunit ribosomal RNA", at positions 2021 to 2356 of the family's 2987-position model. The record is from RNAcentral. Lineage: Eukaryota; Metazoa; Chordata; Actinopteri; Beryciformes; Melamphaidae.
GACCGUGCAAAGGUAGCGCAAUCACUUGUCUUUUAAAUGAAGACCCGUAUGAAUGGCCUGACGAGGGCUUAGCUGUCUCUUUUCUCUAGUCAAUGAAAUUGAUCUUCCCGUGCAGAAGCGGGAAUAAUUCCAUAAGACGAGAAGACCCUAUGGAGCUUUAGACACAAGGCAACCCAAACAAAAUACCCGUAAACUAAACAUCUGGGUAAUAUAAUGGUCCCCGCUUAACUGUCUUUGGUUGGGGCGACCCUGGGG